Molecule: non-coding RNA, 115 nt
Organism: Mesitornis unicolor (brown roatelo)
Lineage: Eukaryota; Metazoa; Chordata; Aves; Mesitornithiformes; Mesitornithidae
Source: Rfam
UGGAAAUAUGGAAUGAGAGCAGAACAGCACUCCCCUUGGUUAGGAUGCAAGAAGUUCUAAUGGACUUUUAACCAUGUUUAAGACUGUCACUUACUUUGCGGCAUCUAAUGUAUAU